CCGUGCUAGAUGGGGUGUUAGCGGUUCCUUGUAACCUGCAAUCCGCUGUAGCAGGGUCGAUGCUCAGUCUGAGGGUACCUUUUGUAGAGUCUGCGCAGAUUAAGUGAUGUUGAUAAUUGGGUCUUACGCAAUAGAUACUUGUGAACCCCGUCAGGUCCGGAAGGAAGCAGCGGUAAGCUUGACCAUCUAUGUGCCGUAGGGUCGCCUAGUUUGAGUUAACUGAUCUGUUAACGUCUGUAAUAUCUAUUCGAAGCUGAGUGCACGG
RNAcentral lists this signal recognition particle RNA (265 nucleotides) under Fusibacter bizertensis. RNAcentral's name for it is "signal recognition particle sRNA large type". It matches the Rfam family "Bacterial large signal recognition particle RNA". From Rfam's summary of the family: The signal recognition particle (SRP) is a universally conserved ribonucleoprotein involved in the co-translational targeting of proteins to membranes. Archaeal SRP consists of a 7S RNA and homologues of the eukaryotic SRP19 and SRP54 proteins. In most bacteria, the SRP consists of a 4.5S RNA and the Ffh protein (a homologue of the eukaryotic SRP54 protein). The record is from RNAcentral. Lineage: Bacteria; Bacillati; Bacillota; Clostridia; Eubacteriales; Fusibacteraceae.